AUUACUGGGGUCUGCCACCACAGCAUUGUCAGUGCUGUGUCCAACGAGCGGAAACAAAAGAGUUUCUAAAAAAUGUAAUAAUAGAGACAUUGAAUGAAAUAUUUAGAGAGCAAUAAAUGUAUAUAUUAUUUAUUAUGUGUAUUGUGUUUCUUCUGUUACAGGUCGUGAAGGUUUUUCGGCUGGGUUUUUCUCCUUCACCUGAUUGGCAUCACAAUUGGCACAAUUCCCAGCA
This is a long non-coding RNA of Ornithodoros turicata, 232 nucleotides long. RefSeq lists it as uncharacterized. NCBI's taxonomy places the organism in Eukaryota, Metazoa, Arthropoda, Arachnida, Ixodida, Argasidae. The record is from RefSeq and is a predicted model, not a curated record. The transcript is spliced from 3 exons.